AAACCUGAUAAAACUUUCAACAACGGAUCUCUUGGCUCUUGCAUCGAUGAAGAACGCAGCGAAAUGCGAUAAGUAAUGUGAAUUGCAGAAUUCAGUGAAUCAUCGAAUCUUUGAACGCACCUUGCGCCUUUUGGUAUUCCGAAAGGCAUGCCUGUUUGAGUG
This 162-nucleotide ribosomal RNA is filed under the name Biatoropsis usnearum. RNAcentral's name for it is "5.8S ribosomal RNA". It matches the Rfam family "5.8S ribosomal RNA". Rfam says of the family: 5.8S ribosomal RNA (5.8S rRNA) is a component of the large subunit of the eukaryotic ribosome. It is transcribed by RNA polymerase I as part of the 45S precursor that also contains 18S and 28S rRNA. The record is from RNAcentral. Lineage: Eukaryota; Fungi; Basidiomycota; Tremellomycetes; Tremellales; Tremellaceae.